This 490-nucleotide ribosomal RNA is filed under the name uncultured bacterium. Its description in RNAcentral is "partial 16S ribosomal RNA". It matches the Rfam family "Bacterial small subunit ribosomal RNA", at positions 28 to 507 of the family's 1533-position model. The record is from RNAcentral.
GAUGAACGCUAGCGAUAGGCUUAACACAUGCAAGUCGAGGGGCAGCAUGGUCUUAGCUUGCUCAGACUGAUGGCGACCGGCGCACGGGUGCGUAACGCGUAUGCAACUUGCCUCACAGAGGGGGAUAACCCGUCGAAAGACGGACUAAUACCGCGUACACUUGGGAUAGGGCAUCCUGACCCAAGGAAAUGAAAUUCGCUGUGAGAUAGGCAUGCGUCCCAUUAGCUAGUUGGUGAGGUAACGGCUCACCAAGGCGACGAUGGGUAGGGGAACUGAGAGGUUGAACCCCCACACUGGUACUGAGACACGGACCAGACUCCUACGGGAGGCAGCAGUGAGGAAUAUUGGUCAAUGGGCGAGAGCCUGAACCAGCCAAGUCGCGUGAAGGAUGACUGUCUUAUGGAUUGUAAACUCCUUUUAUACGGGAAUAACAAGAGCCACGUGUGGCUCCCUGCAUGUACCGUAUGAAUAAGCAUCGGCUAACUCCGUG